ACUUUUUUUUUUUUAUUACCAAUCAUAUCCUAAACUUGUUUAUGUUAGCUGUAAAUCAAAAUGUCGUAGAGAAAGGAACACCAUGAUCCUCCUCGAGAUAAUAUAUUCAAAGUUCCAGAUCCUCUUAGCUGUAUAGAAAACAUGGCCCAAACAUAUGGUAAUGUGAGCUCACCGUUAAUAAGGCAACAAAAUACACGAGUAUCUUCUAGUGCUACAUCUCAUGCUGAAGGUACACCUGAUAUUUCUUCUCAUCCUGAUAGUAUGGGUAAUAAAUUGAAGUAUGGGAUUUGGAUCAUUUUAAAAAAAAGUCUAUGAUGAUCAUGAUAUUGAAAUGAGUAAAUCAACAAGCUUAUGGUAUGAACAAAGAUAUUGUGCCUCGUUAAAGCAUGGUACAAUUGAGUUAUAGCGGCAUCUUAAGCAUACUUAUAAGAAUUUUAAAUACAAAAAGGAGUACAAAAUUGCAGUUGAGUAAGUGUGAGGAGGAUGAUUAUAACUUAGCAUAUUAGAAGUUUAACCAAGUAAUUGCUAGGAGGUCUAUGGUUAAGAUGAUAAUAAAGGAUAAGUUGCCCUUUAAGUUUGUGGAGAAGGAAGGGUUUAAGGAGUUUUGCUAAGAAGUUCAACCUAAAUUUCAAAUACAUUCUAGGUGGACAGUAGCUAGAGAUGUUUGUCAAAUUUUCUAUGAAGAGAAAAAUAAAUUACGUGCACUUAUAGAUUUUGAGUGCCAACUACCAUCAUUUACCACCGAUACUUGGACUAGUUGUCAAAACAUCUCUUAUGUUUAUUUGACAUGCUACUUUAUCCAUAAUAAUUGGACAAUGCGAAAGAGGAUUUUAAACUUUGUUCACUAAAAAAUUAUAAAGGUGUGCGUUUGGGUAAAUUGACUUUUACAUGGAUAAGUGGGGAUUUAAUAAGAUUAUGUGUAUUACCGUUGAUAAUGCAAUCAGUAAUGACACAGUAUUGCAAAAUUAAAAGAACCCUUAAGCAAACAAAUGUAUUUGUGUUGAAUGAUGAGGCUUUCCACAUGAGAUGUGUUGCACAUAUUUUACACUUGGCAUUAAACUUGAGAUCAAGAUUGUUGUCAUCAAAUAAUAAAGUGAGAGCUACAUGUAAAUAUGUGAGGAGUAGCCCGUGGAGAUUAGAUAACUUUAAAAAAUAUCAAAAAAGUGUCCAAGUAGAUUGUAAGGGUUCUGUGAUAUAAGAUUGUGAAACAAGGUGAAAUUCGACUUAUUUAAUGUUAGAGACAUUUCUACAAUUUAGAAAAAUAUUUGAGAGACUUGAAUUAUUAGACUUACCUAUAGGAAUGAAUUAGAUGGUUCUUUUUCUCUACAGAAUUAUUGGGAAAAAUGUUCAAAACUUAACUAGGUUUUUGAAAAAGUUUUAUGAUGUGACAUUAAAAAUAACUGGAUCAUUAUACUCUACUGCAAAUAUAUUUUUUCCUAAGCUUUGCAGUGUGUUAAAUGAGUUGCAAAAUUCUAUGGCUGGUGAUGAUGUGGAACUUGCAAAUAUGGCAAAGGAAAUGAAGGGAAAAUUUAACAAGUACUGGGAUCCAUUGGAUAAGAUGAAUGCGAUGUUAUUUAUACUUAUAAUAUUGGACCCUCAAUACAAGUUAAGGUACCUGAGGGUGAAGUAUCAAUGAUUUUUUAAUGAUGCUACAAUAGAUAAGUUAGUAGAAAGCAUAUUCAGAAAUCUAAAUUUAUUGAUUUCUGAGUAUGAGAAAGAAGAAAAUACUUGUGAAAGUUUUGAUAUAAGUAGCCAAGGAAAGAAUGAGAAAAGUAAUGCAAAUGACGUUAAGAUUGAUAAGUGAGGAAACUAGGAAUUAAAGUUAGGGAGAGCUAAAAAAAAUUUCAAGUAUUCUGAAGGGUGAAAUUAAAAAAUUUUUGUAUUCUAGGUGGGGUAAAAAUAAAAAAAUUCAACAUUUUGUGGGUGUUUCUUUAAAAAAAAAUUUAUUAGGGGCGAGGCCACCCACCCUUAGCGCCUGAUUCCGUUAGUGAGAUUGAUGAAUAUUUUUUUUGGAAUUAGAGAGAGAAUAAUUUGAAUAUGCAUUCAGAGUUGGAUAGAUACUUAAAUGAUCAACCUAAAAAUUUGCAAUAAAUUUUAAUUUGCUAUUAUAGUGGUUAAAAUUGCUAUUAUAGUGGGAGGUAAGUGGAUGCGAUAUUGUCACGACCCGAACCAUAGGUUGAAUCGACACUAGGGCCAAGGUAAGCUUAAAGACCUUGAGGACCGUAGUAAGCCUAAACCACAAAGUCCACUCAUGCCAAACGGAAUUCUAAGAAUGGUAAGCCCAUAUUAUUUUUUACAUAUAUAUCAAGUAAUCACACAUUCCUGACCCAAUCUCAAACAUCUCAAAUAAAAUAUAUUUUGGGCCUAUUUGUAAUAUGUCAUGUUCAUAAUAUAGGCUAUUGGUUCAUACAUGCUUUCAAUAAAUAAUUAAGACAUUUAUAAUAUUCAUAGAUUAGUAUAUCCAUUCUAAUACAAGAUCUGAGGUACCUAAAUCUUAUAAUUGCGGAGUUCAAUAUAGCUAGAAGUAGUGAAGUUUUUAUAUAUAACAAUACAUAAAUUAAUUAACUAUAGAAAUUAGAAAUUUACUUUUAUAGCCCUACGGAGAAGGUUUCAAAGCUUUUGCCAACUCGAUGGAAAUCAUACUUCCUAAAAAGUUUAAAUAAGAGAAGAGCGAGUUUUGCAACUUAGUAAAUAAUAAUAACGAAUGCAUACAUAGGCAUUCACGCAAAAUGCAACCUAAAACACUAACAUGAACACAAAACCACUCGAGCAUAUGGCACAAGAUCAGCACCCACAAGUAAUUACACCUUCAAGUAAUCAAACAAGUAGAAAUUAGUCAGUGACAUCACCGAAACCUCCGACGAGCCGUCCUCACACAUGACUCACCAUCUCCAACGUGUGCACCGGGGGCCAAUCCCCAUACAUGGCCCACCAGUCCAAUCCUCACUUGGCCAAACCUAUAAUUUUUUUAUACUCCACCUAGUGAUUUUCCAUAUCAUAUUUCAUCAGAUGCACACAGGGGCGUCGAUCUCCCUAUACAUAGCCGACGGUAUCAUAGACUAGCCUCACAAACCCGUAGUAACCCACUUCAUCUCAAUUCCACACACAAACAAGGCACAAUAAUGUCACAUCACAAGUAAUCAAACAAUUCAUUUAAUAUAAUGGAUCACAUUGAUAAUUAAUACGCCAACAUAUAAAUAUAACUAUGAUAUAAAUAAUUAUAUAAAUAUAAUCAUAUUUUAAUAAUAUCAUAAAAAUAGAUAAAAAUAAAAGCUAAGUUAUCAUAUAUAUAUUUAUAUAUCAUAAAAUAAAUAAUGUAUGUAUGCAAAUAAUAGCAUGCACUAUUUAUUAUUACUCUGAUAGAGAAUAGAAAAAGCUCUCUAACUCGGUUUUGACUUAGAGGAGCAGUAGACGGGCUUUGACGAUCUAAAGAAUUUAAGAACACAAGGAAAGAAUUGAAUCAGACAAAUGACUAAUUUAAAUCAACCCUGUUUAAAGAAUCACAAUAUCUGUAAAUAUCUUUAUCCACUAAGCUCUCUAUCUACUAAGCUCUCUUUCCACUUGUUUAAAGAAUCACAAUAUCUGUAAAUAUCUUUCAAUCACUACACAUAGCCCAUUCGUCGGGCAAUCAAUCAAAUUAUUUUCCCUUCCUCCAUCCAAAGUAUCAAAAUAAUUGUUUGACCAUCCAUACAAAACCUUAGCUUUUCUUAAUCCUUGCUUUCAACAUCAUAACAAGUUCGUUCGCUACUAAUACAUAAAUAUUCUUAGCUUUAUUAAGGUUAAACAAAUAAAUCAAUAAUUAUGGAAUUAGUUGAAAAUGAUUAUUUGUUUAAUCUCACAUCUGCUACUUUAAACUAUCCGAUCAUAUACCCAUAACAACCAUAUAAAAUUAUAGCUCACAUUUCCUUUACCAACAUUAACAAAGAUCUCGUAUAUCAACUUACUAAUCUGUGAAUCAUUAUCCUCACCAAGCAAGAUUAUUGGUAACAAACUUAUUUAAAUUAUCCAUUAAGCACAACUAAAUAUAUAUACGUCAACUAACAAAUUUCUAGCAGGAAUUGGAUUUAUAAUUUCUUUUUACCAUACCUUUUCCUUUUCAUUAAACAAAACUUAAACAAAAUGGCUACGUUAAUUGCUGCCAUGAUAAAAAUUCACAUUGUUACUCCAUUCUGAUCAUAAACCCCUUUAUUUUAACAACAACCAUGAGAAACAUAUUCCCAUUACCACAUAUGAACUUAAUUCAGUCAAUAAUUAUAAUUUCUCUAACUAAAAGUUGCUGUCAUUCAUCCAAUACUUAGCUUCUAAAAGUUACUAUAAUCCUACCAAAACACUUACUAAAAUAUGCUUUAAUUAUAGGUAGGAAGAAAAUUAAUUUAAUUCUUCCAUAAUGUUUGUAUGAACAGUAGCUUCUAGGGAUUUAUUCUUACAUUAAAUCGAUUUACACAUCAAAUCCUAUACCCUAGAUCAAAGAAUUUAUAACAUGUGCCAAAGAAAGUUGGAAAUCAGCUUACCCAGCAGUAAAAUGCACCAGAAAGUAAAAUUUUCCGGUUAAUUCAUCGGAAAAACGUUGCUCUCCGUUAAAAACUCUCUUUCUUAUUGCUGCACCACAGCCAAACCGGAAAAGGAGAAGGGAAGAAGUCGGAGGAGGAUCGGUGAUGAAGUGAAUGGCCUAGACCAGCCGGUCCUUGGCUGAUUUUGCCGAAAAAGUGAUGGGAACGCUGAAGGAGGCAGCGUCGAUCAGACAAGCACAACUCGCAGAUCCCCUCACUGCACUAAACCAGACUGAGACAGGAUAAAGAGAGUCCGGAGAGACGUCGUCGUCGAGAGAGAGACUGGAGUCGCUGGAAAGUUGAGGAGCAGGAGCCGCGAUUUCCCGUUCGUGUCUCCUGCGGUUACUGCGCUCUCAAGAACGAAAGGAGGGAGAGAAAAAGAGACCGGAGCUGUGGUGAGGCAGUCACGUGGCAAGGAGGCAAUGGCAGUGAGGCGGACCGGCGCUAGCUUCAAACGAUCCGAAAACGAAAAGGGGAGGGGGAAGGGGCUGAGGUCGCGAUCAAAGUGAAAGGGGAGAAAAUUGUUUAGAGAUAAAACAGUAAAUUAUGUUUCCAGGGCCUUCUAGACAGGUUUUGGUUCGAUUUGAGUUCGGUUUGGCUCAAAUCAUGGGUCUUUGCUUGGUUCUCCUUUGGUUUAUAGGUUUCUAUUGAUUUGAUUUAAUUCUUAGGUUUGGUUUCUAUAUAUAAAAUAAUAUUUGUAUUAAAUUUUAUCAAAUAAUUUCUCAAAGUAAAAAUAUAUUCAUUUUUAAAAAAAUGAAAUGCCCUUUUGUCCCAAUUAUUAAAUUUA
This 5337-nucleotide long non-coding RNA is filed under the name Jatropha curcas. Its description in RNAcentral is "long non-coding RNA (JCUR_LNC001682)". Lineage: Eukaryota; Viridiplantae; Streptophyta; Magnoliopsida; Malpighiales; Euphorbiaceae. The record is from RNAcentral.